This is a regulatory RNA element of 141 nucleotides. It matches the Rfam family "PyrR binding site". Rfam says of the family: This family represents the PyrR binding site and terminator structure. This RNA structure is found upstream of a variety of genes involved in pyrimidine biosynthesis and transport. The record is from Rfam.
GUAGCCUUUAAUUUAACCCCGUGAGGUUAAAAAGGAGUAAGAAAUUACAUAGAUAUUGGUGUGCCGAAUAUAAUGGCUGCCUAAAAACUAUGCUAAGAUUAUUAAACCUUCUUUAUCCUCAUGGAAAAAGAAGGUUUUUUU